RNAcentral lists this ribosomal RNA (242 nucleotides) under uncultured bacterium. RNAcentral describes it as "partial 16S ribosomal RNA". It matches the Rfam family "Bacterial small subunit ribosomal RNA", at positions 529 to 771 of the family's 1533-position model. The record is from RNAcentral.
AGGGGGCAAGCGUUAUCCGGAUUUACUGGGUGUAAAGGGAGCGUAGGCGGGCUUGCAAGUUGAAUGUCUAAUCCACCGGCUCAACCGGUGUCCGCGUUCAAAACUGCAGGUCUUGAGUGAAGUAGAGGCAGGCGGAAUUCCUAGUGUAGCGGUGAAAUGCGUAGAUAUUAGGAGGAACACCAGUGGCGAAGGCGGCCUGCUGGGCUUUAACUGACGCUGAGGCUCGAAAGCGUGGGGAGCAA